This 80-nucleotide transfer RNA is filed under the name Perkinsus olseni. Its description in RNAcentral is "tRNA-Pro". Lineage: Eukaryota; Perkinsozoa; Perkinsida; Perkinsidae. The record is from RNAcentral.
AGCAGUCUGGCCGAGCGGUCCUAGGCGCUAGCUUCGGGCUCUACAGCGUAAGAGCGCGAGUUCGAAUCUCGGAGCUGUUA